GUCUUGUGCCCAAUGUCACACAGCUAGGAAGUAUCUGAGGCCACCCUUGAGCCCAGCAUUUCCCAUCUCCAGGUCUCGUUCUAUGUUCACUGAGCCACCCAGAUACCCUUUUCAAGGUUUUUAAACUAGGUGAGUAGAUUUGUUGUGAUGCAACAAACAGAAAGGCAAUCCAAUUGGCAUGUGGACAAACGACAGGGUAUCGCCGUUUACCCUGACAAGGGCACCAGCCUCUCUCCCUCUAGAUCAUUCCUUGUGCUUACUCCCAGAGCACCAGCAUUUCUAAGCUGGAUCACCCACUCUGGAGCUGACUAUGUUAUCACAAAAGAGAAUGCCAGAAUGUCAGAUUUCAGGGAAACUCAAGAAAAGGAAGGAGAGAGUAAGGGGAGCAAGAAUGAAUGGAAUGGAAGAAAGUCUUUCUCAGAAUAUGAUUUCUCCAGAUCCUUCUGCCCAAAUAACUGCCUACAGAUUAAUAGCCAAUCCUGGGACUUCUAUUAAACCUAGAGGUACAAUUCAGUAAAAGUCACUAGUCUUAUCACUAAAUACUGAAGAAUUAGGAUGGUUUAAGAAAGGAUUUAAAAGGUAGAACCUCAAAAAAAUCUAAUCAACCCCUUCUUUUUUUAUAAAUAUGAAAACUGAGGCCUAGAGUAGCAAUUGCUUAUACAUCAUCACAUGACUACCUAAAUUAGAACUGAAUCUCUAGCCUGAGAACUAAGAACCUCAGGCUCUCUCUAGUUCUAGCUUUGCCAUCAACUAGCAAUGUGACCUCUUUCGGCAUUUGCUUUUCAAUCUGUAAAAUGAAGAGGUUGGAUUAGCAUUCCAAGGUCUCUUGAGUGCAAAAAUUUUGUGAUUCUAUUUUGGAGAAGUCAGUGAAUUUCAGACAAUCAGUCAACAAGCAGUUAGUAUAUGCUUGAAGAAGAAACAAGAUUUGGAUAAUAAGUUUAAAUUCCAACUAGUGGAUAGAGUGGCAUGACUGAAGUCAGGAAGAAGACUUUAAAUCUUUUUUUUUUUUCAGAUACACAUUAGUUUGUGACCUUAGACAGGUCAUAAGUCUCUGUCUGCCUCCAUUUCCUUACUUGUAAAAUGGAGAUAAUAGCACCUGCAUCACAGGGUUGUUGUGAAGAUCAAGUGAGAUCAUAUUUGUAAAGGGCCUUGAACAUAGUAGGCACCUUGAGUAUAGUAGGUAAUGAAUGCUCAUUUCCUUCCUCUUAACUGAACCUCUCCCCCAAAUAAACACCCUUAUUAUCUAUUCCA
RNAcentral lists this long non-coding RNA (1251 nucleotides) under Monodelphis domestica (gray short-tailed opossum). Its description in RNAcentral is "lncRNA (ENSMODG00000038742.1)". Lineage: Eukaryota; Metazoa; Chordata; Mammalia; Didelphimorphia; Didelphidae. The record is from RNAcentral.